Molecule: ribosomal RNA, 449 nt
Filed under: uncultured bacterium
Lineage: Bacteria
Description: partial 16S ribosomal RNA
Rfam family: Bacterial small subunit ribosomal RNA
Source: RNAcentral
GACGAACGCUGGCGGCGUGCCUAACACAUGCAAGUCGAACGGAUCCUUCGGGAUUAGUGGCGGACGGGUGAGUAACGCGUGGGAACAUACCCUUUGGUACGGGAUAGCCUCGGGAAACUGGGAGUAAUACCGUAUGUGGUCGAGAGACGAAAGAUUUAUCGCCAAAGGAUUGGCCCGCGUUGGAUUAGGUAGUUGGUGGGGUAAUGGCCUACCAAGCCGACGAUCCAUAGCUGGUUUGAGAGGAUGAUCAGCCAAACUGGGACUGAGACACGGCCCAGACUCCUACGGGAGGCAGCAGUGGGGAAUCUUAGACAAUGGGGGAAACCCUGAUCUAGCCAUGCCGCGUGAUCGAUGAAGGCCUUAGGGUUGUAAAGAUCUUUCAGGUGGGAAGAUAAUGACUGUACCACCAGAAGAAGCCCCGGCUAACUCCGUGCCAGCAGCCGCAGUAA